This 1080-nucleotide ribosomal RNA is filed under the name Fusarium falciforme. RNAcentral describes it as "eukaryotic LSU rRNA". The stretch from base 173 to 1080 matches the Rfam family "Eukaryotic large subunit ribosomal RNA", at positions 1 to 940 of the family's 3401-position model. Lineage: Eukaryota; Fungi; Ascomycota; Sordariomycetes; Hypocreales; Nectriaceae. The record is from RNAcentral.
AACCCUCAGGCCCCCGGGCCUGGCGUUGGGGAUCGGCGGAAGCCCCCUGCGGGCACAACGCCGUCCCCCAAAUACAGUGGCGGUCCCGCCGCAGCUUCCAUUGCGUAGUAGCUAACACCUCGCAACUGGAGAGCGGCGCGGCCACGCCGUAAAACACCCAACUUCUGAAUGUUGACCUCGAAUCAGGUAGGAAUACCCGCUGAACUUAAGCAUAUCAAUAAGCGGAGGAAAAGAAACCAACAGGGAUUGCCCCAGUAACGGCGAGUGAAGCGGCAACAGCUCAAAUUUGAAAUCUGGCUCUCGGGCCCGAGUUGUAAUUUGUAGAGGAUGCUUUUGGUGAGGUGCCUUCCGAGUUCCCUGGAACGGGACGCCAUAGAGGGUGAGAGCCCCGUCUGGUUGGACACCGAUCCUCUGUAAAGCUCCUUCGACGAGUCGAGUAGUUUGGGAAUGCUGCUCUAAAUGGGAGGUAUAUGUCUUCUAAAGCUAAAUACCGGCCAGAGACCGAUAGCGCACAAGUAGAGUGAUCGAAAGAUGAAAAGAACUUUGAAAAGAGAGUUAAAAAGUACGUGAAAUUGUUGAAAGGGAAGCGCUUGUGACCAGACUUGGGCUUGGUUGAUCAUCCGGGGUUCUCCCCGGUGCACUCUUCCGGCUCAGGCCAGCAUCAGUUCGCCCUGGGGGAUAAAGGCUUCGGGAAUGUGGCUCUCUCCGGGGAGUGUUAUAGCCCGCUGCGUAAUACCCUGUGGCGGACUGAGGUUCGCGCAUUCGCAAGGAUGCUGGCGUAAUGGUCAUCAGUGACCCGUCUUGAAACACGGACCAAGGAGUCGUCUUCGUAUGCGAGUGUUCGGGUGUCAAACCCCUACGCGUAAUGAAAGUGAACGCAGGUGAGAGCUUCGGCGCAUCAUCGACCGAUCCUGAUGUUAUCGGAUGGAUUUGAGUAAGAGCAUACGGGGCCGGACCCGAAAGAAGGUGAACUAUGCCUGUGUAGGGUGAAGCCAGAGGAAACUCUGGUGGAGGCUCGCAGCGGUUCUGACGUGCAAAUCGAUCGUCAAACAUGGGCAUGGGGGCGAAAGACUAAUCGAC